Tinamus guttatus (white-throated tinamou) is the source of this 307-nucleotide non-coding RNA. The record is from RefSeq and is a predicted model, not a curated record. NCBI's taxonomy places the organism in Eukaryota, Metazoa, Chordata, Aves, Tinamiformes, Tinamidae.
UACAGUUGGAAGAGAGCUGUGGAUUGCGAGAAAAUGAUGUGAAGUUACUGAAAAGAGUUGUAGACUAUUGCAUGAAUAAUGGUAUUGCAUUAACUCAGGCCUGCUAUCUGGAGAAAGAAGAAAAGUGUCUUCCUCCCCCUAGUAUUUGAGUAGUGAUAACGGUGGAACAAACAGAACAAGAACUGGACAAGGCUGCAUCACUCAUUAAGGAAGCUGCACGGUCUGUGCUAAAUUAGACUGCUAUUUCAGAUACCUUCCUCAAAUUAUCAGGAGACAUGUUUUACGCUCUAUAGUGUCUUGGCUUCCA